This 253-nucleotide ribosomal RNA is filed under the name uncultured bacterium. RNAcentral's name for it is "partial 16S ribosomal RNA". It matches the Rfam family "Bacterial small subunit ribosomal RNA", at positions 524 to 776 of the family's 1533-position model. The record is from RNAcentral.
UACGGAGGGAGCUAGCGUUGUUCGGAAUUACUGGGCGUAAAGCGCGCGUAGGCGGCUUUGUAAGUUAGAGGUGAAAGCCCGGGGCUCAACCCCGGAACUGCCUUUAAGACUGCAUCGCUUGAAUCCGGGAGAGGUGAGUGGAAUUCCGAGUGUAGCGGUGAAAUGCGUAGAUAUCAGGAGGAACACCGGCGGUGUAGACGGCUUGCUAGACCACCCCUGACGCUGAGGCACGAAAGCGUGGGUAGCAAACAGG